Molecule: ribosomal RNA, 245 nt
Filed under: uncultured bacterium
Lineage: Bacteria
Description: partial 16S ribosomal RNA
Rfam family: Bacterial small subunit ribosomal RNA
Source: RNAcentral
UACGGAGGGUGCGAGCGUUAAUCGGAAUUACUGGGCGUAAAGCGCGCGUAGGCGGUGAGAUGAGUCUGAUGUGAAAGCCCUGGGCUUAACCUGGGAAUGGCAUGAGAUACUGUUUUACUAGAGUGUGGGAGAGGGGUGUGGAAUUUCCGGUGUAGCAGUGAAAUGCGUAGAGAUCGGAAGGAACACCAGUGGCGAAGGCGGCACCCUGGACCAACACUGACGCUGAGGUGCGAAAGCGUGGGGAG